AAUCAACACUCCACUCAGACAAUGCCCAGACCUCCAGAAACCAUGUGUCAAGCUCGGAUUGCCUUAGACAGCUCACCCAGCUGGAACUCUUAUGGGACCUUGGCACCAGAGACCACAAAUUCCUCUUUGAAGUUUUCUAACAGCAACAAUGGUAUUUCUGACUUGGCUUUCUUGUAUUUCUCUCACGUUAACAAAAUUGGUUCAGCAUCUACCAUGGGCUACAUGCUGAGCUACAGAGUUUCGCUCUGUCGCCCAGGCUGGAGUGCAGUGGCGCGCGAUCUCGGUUCACUGCAAGCUCCACCUCCCGGGUUCACGCCAUUCUCCUGCCUCAGCCUCCUGAGUAGCUGGGACUACAGGCGCCCGCCACCACACCCAGGAACAAAACCCAUCAGAAGAUGUCAGAAGAUAAGGAUUUUUGUCCUGAUGCUACACUUACCAGCUGUCCCUCAGUGUUCUACUUCUUAAAAAAAGAGAGAUGGAUAAACAGAGGCAACCCGAGGAUAAAGGCCUUGCUCAGUGUCACACAUUUCAGUCACUAAAUAAGACACAAUGGAUGCCAGUAUUCUCAUCCCCUCACAAAUAAAGAGCCUUCAAGCUCUUGCAGUCAACAAGAACUUUUGGAAUGAUUUCACUGCCUGAAAAGGCAGAUACAUAGGUGACACCCACAAAUAGGAAGAAAAUCAACCUGAACCUGAGUGUGUGGGCUCACUGACUCUAAGCAGUAGAGACAGAAGAAAAAGUUUUAGCAAAGAAGGGUUCUGAAAGAAAAUAAAUAUAGCUCGUUAUCAAGUGCUGUUUUUACACAGUAAAACAUGGGCAAAAUUACUCUUCUUUAAGUAGUAAUUCUUAUCUCUUGAUUAAGUCACCUACUCAUUCAUUUAAUAAAUACAUACUGAUUGUU
This 901-nucleotide long non-coding RNA is filed under the name Homo sapiens (human). RNAcentral describes it as "HSALNT0328130". Lineage: Eukaryota; Metazoa; Chordata; Mammalia; Primates; Hominidae. The record is from RNAcentral.